Molecule: small nuclear RNA, 132 nt
Organism: Eremothecium sinecaudum
Lineage: Eukaryota; Fungi; Ascomycota; Saccharomycetes; Saccharomycetales; Saccharomycetaceae
Source: RefSeq, a predicted model, not a curated record
CAAUAAAAAUCGUGCGGAUUUUUUAAUCCAGGACUAUAAAACCGUGUUGCUCGGGUGAUUGCUCUUUUGAGCCUAUUGCCAUGAGUGUCAAGUCCAUCGGAGAGAUCAUUGUUGUUCAUCUUAGUGCCCUUU